This 861-nucleotide non-coding RNA is filed under the name Trichomonas vaginalis G3. RNAcentral describes it as "Eukaryotic small subunit ribosomal RNA". It matches the Rfam family "Eukaryotic small subunit ribosomal RNA", at positions 120 to 1169 of the family's 1831-position model. Lineage: Eukaryota; Parabasalia; Trichomonadida; Trichomonadidae. The record is from Rfam by way of RNAcentral.
UUUGGCGGCGACCAACAGGUCUUAAAUGGAUAGCAGCAGCAACUCUGGUGCUAAUACAUGCGAUUGUUUCUCCAGAUGUGAAUUAUGGAGGAAAAGUUGACCUCAUCAGAGGCACGCCAUUCGACUGAGUGACCUAUCAGCUUGUACUUAGGGUCUUUACCUAGGUAGGCUAUCACGGGUAACGGGCGGUUACCGUCGGACUGCCGGAGAAGGCGCCUGAGAGAUAGCGACUAUAUCCACGGGUAGCAGCAGGCGCGAAACUUUCCCACUCGAGACUUUCGGAGGAGGUAAUGACCAGUUCCAUUGGUGCCUUUUGGUACUGUGGAUAGGGGUACGGUUUUCCACCGUACCGAAACCUAGCAGAGGGCCAGUCUGGUGCCAGCAGCUGCGGUAAUUCCAGCUCUGCGAGUUUGCUCCCAUAUUGUUGCAGUUAAAACGCCCGUAGUCUGAAUUGGCCAGCAAUGGUCGUACGUAUUUUUACGUUCACUGUGAACAAAUCAGGACGCUUAGAGUAUGGCCACAUGAAUGACUCAGCGCAGUAUGAAGUCUUUGUUUUCUUCCGAAAACAAGCUCAAUGAGAGCCAUCGGGGGUAGAUCUAUCUCAUGACGAGUGGUGGAAUACUUUGACUCAUGAGAGAGAAGCUGAGGCGAAGGCGUCUACCUAGAGGGUUUCUGUCGAUCAAGGGCGAGAGUAGGAGUAUCCAACAGGAUUAGAGACCCUGGUAGUUCCUACCUUAAACGAUGCCGACAGGAGUUUGUCAUUUGUUAAUGGCAGAAUCUUUGGAGAAAUCAUAGUUCUUUGGGCUCUGGGGGAACUACGAACGCAAGGCUGAAACUUGAAGGAAUUGACGGAAGGGCACA